UACGGGGGGGGCAAGCGUUGUUCGGAAUUACUGGGCGUAAAGGGUUCGUAGGUGGCUCGCUAAGUCAGACGUGAAAUCCCUCAGCUUAACUGGGGAACUGCGUCUGAGACUGGCAAGCUUGAGUGCAGGAGAGGAACGCGGAAUUCCAGGUGUAGCGGUGAAAUGCGUAGAUAUCAAGAGGAACACCUGAGGCGAAGGCGGGUUGCUAGGCUGACACUGACGCUGAGUGCGCGAAAGCCAGGGGAGCAAACGGG
RNAcentral lists this ribosomal RNA (254 nucleotides) under uncultured bacterium. RNAcentral's name for it is "partial 16S ribosomal RNA". It matches the Rfam family "Bacterial small subunit ribosomal RNA", at positions 524 to 776 of the family's 1533-position model. The record is from RNAcentral.